CAGGACAGGGGUCCUGUGUCCCAGAGGUGGGGUAUCCUGUAGCUCCCGUGGGGCCCUCAAGAGCCUGCUGGAAAUGCCCAUGUUGGAAAUGGAUCCUUCACCUUGUAAUAACCCCAAGGCAUCUACUUGUUUGGGAGAUCCUCUGUUCCUUCCCCCCGGAUCAUUUACACUUCCCACUUGGCAGAGCAUGUUUUGGGCUCAGAGAUGUUGUCCUCAGAUGGCCACAGUCCCUGUCCUCAAGCAAAUGGGAGUCAAAACUCUGCACCCAAAAGACAGCAGGUUUGGGGGAGCAGCUUGGAACCAGGUGGGGGUGCCAUAGCCAACCCACAAGUCCCUGCUGACACCAAGAAUUUUCCUCUGAGCCAUGGGGGGCAGUGCUGGGGGCAGUCCAGCAGGGCCAUCUGCUCCAGUCCCCUCAUGACCACACACCUCUGCUGCCCAGCACCAGCAGGUCCAGAGCUGCUCUGCCCCUGGCUGCCUCGUGCCCCUGGGGCUCCUCAGCCCUCCACAGUGAUGCGCCGGGACCCAGCCCAGCCCCACAGAGAGCAGUCCCUGCCUGGCCACAGCCCGGCCCUGCCGGGUGCAGUGCAAGAGCUGCCGAGCCCUGGGGCUGUCAUGGGCAGGGGGCCGGGGCCCCAGGGUCGACRGGGCCUCAGGRGCGACAGGGCCCUGCCCUGCCGUGGGGGCAGCAGGACGCUGCCUGCRGGCUCCGCCGCCCUGGCCAUGCCCUCAGGGUCACACAGGGCUGCAUUGUUGCCAUGGCAUCACCCCCAGUGCUGCCCUCCUAUUGGUCAGCAAGGGGAGGAGGCUGGGGCAAGGUUUGACUGGUGGCUCUGUCAGCCAAUCGGAGUGCAGCAUGCAGAAAAAACAGCCCAGAAAGGGGAGCGGGAGCCAAGGCGGAGGGAGCAAGCUGGUGAGAUCGGGUGUGAGUGGGGCUGGCGGGGCUGCGGGUGCCUUCAACUGCCAGCGGGUGCCCUCCCGCCGGGGUGGGGGCAGCGGUGCUGGCCCCGGGGCUGCUUUCCUGCAGGAGCUGCAGCAGGGGCUGCUGGGGCUGUGAGCAUGGCACAGAGCGACCGGGGACACAGCGGGGAGCUGCCCUGCAGC
This 1104-nucleotide long non-coding RNA is filed under the name Apteryx haastii (Great spotted kiwi). Its description in RNAcentral is "lncRNA (ENSAHAG00000014994.1)". Lineage: Eukaryota; Metazoa; Chordata; Aves; Apterygiformes; Apterygidae. The record is from RNAcentral.